RNAcentral lists this ribosomal RNA (426 nucleotides) under uncultured Actinomycetes bacterium. RNAcentral's name for it is "bacterial SSU rRNA". It matches the Rfam family "Bacterial small subunit ribosomal RNA", at positions 233 to 671 of the family's 1533-position model. Lineage: Bacteria; Bacillati; Actinomycetota; Actinomycetes. The record is from RNAcentral.
GCGGCCUAUCAGCUUGUUGGUGAGGUAAUGGCUCACCAAGGCGACGACGGGUAGCCGGCCUGAGAGGGCGACCGGCCACACUGGGACUGAGACACGGCCCAGACUCCUACGGGAGGCAGCAGUGGGGAAUAUUGGGCAAUGGAGGAAACUCUGACCCAGCGACGCCGCGUGCGGGAUGAAGGCCUUCGGGUUGUAAACCGCUUUCAGCAGGGAAUAAGCGCAAGUGAAGGUACCUGCAGAAGAAGCACCGGCUAACUAUGUGCCAGCAGCCGCGGUAAUACAUAGGGUGCAAGCGUUGUCCGGAAUUAUUGGGCGUAAAGAGCUCGUAGGUGGUUUGUUACGUCGGUUGUGAAAUUCAGGGGCUCAACCCCUGACUUGCANCCGAUACGGGCAAGCUAGAGUUUGGUAGGGGAGACUGGAAUUCCU